GAAAGAUUCAUCGGAAGAGGAUGGGCAUGCGGCGCAUUAGCUAGACGGCGGGGUAACGGCCCACCGUGGCGACGAUGCGUAGGGGUUCUGAGAGGAAGGUCCCCCACACUGGUACUGAGACACGGACCAGACUCCUACGGGAGGCAGCAGUGAGGAAUAUUGGUCAAUGGGAGAGAUCCUGAACCAGCCAAGCCGCGUGAGGGAAGACGGCCCUAUGGGUUGUAAACCUCUUUUGUCGGAGAACAAAACCCGGGACGAGUCCCGGACUGCGUGUAUCCGAAGAAAAAGCAUCGGCUAACUCCGUGCCAGCAGCCGCGGUAAUACGGAGAAUGCGAGCGUUAUCCGGAUUUAUUGGGUUUAAAGGGUGCGUAGGCGGUCCGUUAAGUCAGCGGUAAAAUUGCGGGGCUCAACCCCGUCGAGCCGUUGAAACUGGCAGACUUGAGUUGGCGAGAAGUACGCGGAAUGCGCGGUGUAGCGGUGAAAUGCAUAGAUAUCGCGCAGAACUCCGAUUGCGAAGGCAGCGUACCGGCGCCACACUGACGCUGAGGCACGAAAGCGUGGGGAUCGAACAGGAUUAGAUACCCUGGUAGUCCACGCAGUAAACGAUGAAUGCUGGUUGUCCGGGUCGAAUGAGACCUGG
This 640-nucleotide ribosomal RNA is filed under the name uncultured bacterium. RNAcentral describes it as "bacterial SSU rRNA". It matches the Rfam family "Bacterial small subunit ribosomal RNA", at positions 202 to 842 of the family's 1533-position model. The record is from RNAcentral.